AUUGAACGCUGGCGGCAGGCCUAACACAUGCAAGUCGAACGCGCGGGGGGCGGGUGAGAAAAAUCUCUGGAAAUGCCUGAUAGAGGGGGAGAACUACUGUAGAAGGGAGCUAAUACCGCACACGCCCAGAUGUGUCCCGAUGGGGUUAGCUCGUGGGUGGGGUAACGGCGCACCUAGGCGACGAUCCCUAGCUGGGCUGAGAGGAUGACCAUCCACACUGGAACUGAGACACGGUCCAGACUCCUACGUGAGGCAGCAGUGGGGAAUAUUGCACAAUGGGCGCAAGCCUGAUGCAGCCAUGCCGCGUGUAUGAAGAAGGCCUUCGGGUUGUAAAGUACUUUCAGCGGGGAGGCGUUACCCGCAGAAGAAGCACCGGCUAACUCCGUGCCAGCAGCCGCGGUAAUAC
RNAcentral lists this ribosomal RNA (406 nucleotides) under uncultured bacterium. RNAcentral describes it as "partial 16S ribosomal RNA". It matches the Rfam family "Bacterial small subunit ribosomal RNA", at positions 29 to 526 of the family's 1533-position model. The record is from RNAcentral.